Molecule: long non-coding RNA, 610 nt
Filed under: Lytechinus variegatus (green sea urchin)
Lineage: Eukaryota; Metazoa; Echinodermata; Echinoidea; Temnopleuroida; Toxopneustidae
Description: uncharacterized LOC121431334, transcript variant X2
Source: RNAcentral
UUUCUGCUUCCUGUUCUUCGUUCUUUCGAUAUUAUGUCUUAUAAUCAUCAUUAGCUCCUUACAAUCGCUCUUCUCUUUCUAUGCAGCCGGAAACACACUUCAGGCAUCCCUACGCCAAUUCAACAUCGGAAGUCCGCCUUCUCGAAACACACCUAUCAUGCUACGAGUGUUUAGGUAUCUAGACCCCCAUCUCAGCAGCUUGUCAGUGUUUCAUCACCCCCUCCCCCGCUUUCCUUCACGAGAGCAAACGGUAACUUUAACUGUGACAAACGCCUGGGGGUCACUGUACUAUUUGGAUGGAUGUGAAGUUGAUGUAUAGAUGAAGGAUGAUAACUGUAAAACGGCUGCGAUGGACUUUCUUCACGACGUGUCUACUCGUUAAAGAUGCCCUCACUUCUCCGGGUAGGUGAGAAUGGAGACCAGUCAGGCCAAUUGAUAGGUCAUCUGCUCUCCCGCCGCCAACAGCAUCCGACAUUUGGCAGAGUCUUCGAAGAAGUUCAUGCAGAUAUGAGAUAUUUCAACAGGUAAACAGUGGAAUAUCGUCUGCUCAAUCAACCCAGGAAGCCUUUCAUAGUUACAUUUUUAUAGGCGCAAUUCUUCAUCUCGUCUU